Molecule: ribosomal RNA, 1349 nt
Filed under: metagenome
Description: bacterial LSU rRNA
Rfam family: Bacterial large subunit ribosomal RNA
Source: RNAcentral
UGAGUACGAGCUGCUACGGCAGCGAAGUGGGUGACGUCAAGCUUCCAAGAAAAGCCCUAUACCCGUUAAGGCAUGAUGGCCUGUACCCGAAACCGACACAGGUGGGGUGGUAGAGAAUACCGAGGGGCGCGAGGUAACUCUCUCUAAGGAACUCGGCAAAAUGGCCCCGUAACUUCGGGAGAAGGGGUGCCACCGCAAGGUGGUCGCAGUGAAGAGGCCCAGGCGACUGUUUACCAAAAACACAGGUCUCCGCUAAGUCGCAAGACGAUGUAUGGGGGCUGACGCCUGCCCAGUGCCGGAAGGUUAAGGAAGCUGGUCAGCGCAAGCGAAGCUGGCGACUGAAGCCCCGGUGAACGGCGGCCGUAACUAUAACGGUCCUAAGGUAGCGAAAUUCCUUGUCGGGUAAGUUCCGACCCGCACGAAAGGCGUAACGAUCUGGGCGCUGUCUCGGAGAGAGGCUCGGCGAAAUAGAAUUGUCUGUGAAGAUGCGGACUACGUGCACCCGGACAGAAAGACCCUAUGAAGCUUUACUGUAGCUUGGUAUUGUGCCCGGGCCCUGAAUGCGCAGGAUAGGUGGGAGGCUUUGAUCCAUUGCUUGUGGGUGAUGGUGAGCCAACGGUGAGAUACCACUCUUUCAGAGCUAGGGUUCUAACGGUCACCCGUGAUCCGGGGACCGGACAGUAUCAGGUGGGCAGUUUGACUGGGGCAGUCGCCUCCUAAAAGGUAACGGAGGCGCGCAAAGGUUCCCUCAGGCUGGUUGGAAAUCAGCCGACGAGUGUAAAGGCAGAAGGGAGCUUGACUGUGAGACCUACAAGUCGAACAGGGACGAAAGUCGGCCUUAGUGAUCCGACGGUUCUGAGUGGAAGGGCCGUCGCUCAACGGAUAAAAGUUACUCUAGGAUAACAGGCUGAUCUCCCCCAAGAGUUCACAUCGACGGGGAGGUUUGGCACCUCGAUGUCGGCUCAUCGCAACCUGGGGCUGAAGUCGGUCCCAAGGGUUGGGCUGUUCGCCCAUUAAAGCGGUACGCGAGCUGGGUUCAGAACGUCGUGAGACAGUUCGGUCCAUAUCCGGUGCAUGCGCAGGAAUAUUGAGAGGAUUUCUCCCUAGUACGAGAGGACCGGGAGGAACGCACCUCUGGUGUGCCAGUUAUCGUGCCAACGGUAAACGCUGGGUAGCCAUGUGCGGAGAGGAUAACCGCUGAAAGCAUCUAAGUGGGAAGCCCACCUCAAGAUGAGUAUUCCCAUGGCGUUAGCCAGUAAGGUCACGGGCAGAACACCCGUUGAUAGGCUCUACGUGGAAGCCGGGUAACCGGUGAAGCGGAGGAGUACUAAUAGACCGAGGGCUUGACC